Molecule: ribosomal RNA, 520 nt
Filed under: uncultured bacterium
Lineage: Bacteria
Description: partial 16S ribosomal RNA
Rfam family: Bacterial small subunit ribosomal RNA
Source: RNAcentral
GACGAACGCUGGCGGCGUGCCUAAUACAUGCAAGUCGAACGCACUCUCGUUUAGAUUGACGGAGUUUGCUCCUGAUUGAUCAACAUUUGAGUGAGUGGCGGACGGGUGAGUAACACGUGGGUAACCUGCCCUAAAGUGGGGGAUAACAUUUGGAAACAGAUGCUAAUACCGCAUAAAACCUAACACCGCAUGGUGUAGGGUUGAAAGAUGGUUUCGGCUAUCACUUUAGGAUGGACCCGCGGUGCAUUAGUUAGUUGGUGAGGUAAAGGCUCACCAAGACCGCGAUGCAUAGCCGACCUGAGAGGGUAAUCGGCCACACUGGGACUGAGACACGGCCCAGACUCCUACGGGAGGCAGCAGUAGGGAAUCUUCCACAAUGGACGAAAGUCUGAUGGAGCAACGCCGCGUGAGUGAAGAAGGUUUUCGGAUCGUAAAACUCUGUUGUUGGAGAAGAAUGUAUCUGAUAGUAACUGAUCAGGUAGUGACGGUAUCCAACCAGAAAGCCACGGCUAACUACGUG